This 432-nucleotide unclassified non-coding RNA is filed under the name soil metagenome. RNAcentral's name for it is "partial contains 5.8S ribosomal RNA, internal transcribed spacer 2, and large subunit ribosomal RNA". The stretch from base 1 to 120 matches the Rfam family "5.8S ribosomal RNA", at positions 35 to 154 of the family's 154-position model. The record is from RNAcentral.
GAUGAAGAACGCAGUGAAAUGCGAUACGUAAUGUGAAUUGCAGAAUUCAGUGAAUCAUCGAAUCUUUGAACGCAUAUUGCGCUCUCUGGUAUUCCGGAGAGCAUGCUUGUUUGAGUAUCAGUAAACACCUCAACUUCCAUAUCUUUUUUGAAAUGGGAGUUGGACUUGAGUGAUCCCAACGCUUUUCCUCACCGAAAAGUGGCGGGUUACUUGAAAUGCAGGUGCAGCUGGACUUUUCUCUGAGCUAUAAGCAUAUCUAUUUAGUCUGCCUAAAAAACAGAUUAUUACCUUUGCUGCAGCUAACAUAAAGGAGAUUAGUUCUUGUGCUGACUGAUGCAGGAUUCACAAAGACAGGCUUCGGCCGACUUUGUAAACUCGAUCUCAAAUCAAGUAAGACUACCCGCUGAACUUAAGCAUAUCAAUAAGCGGAGA